This 228-nucleotide ribosomal RNA is filed under the name uncultured bacterium. RNAcentral describes it as "partial 16S ribosomal RNA". It matches the Rfam family "Bacterial small subunit ribosomal RNA", at positions 1273 to 1500 of the family's 1533-position model. The record is from RNAcentral.
CCCCAAAAAGCCGUCCCAGUUCGGAUCGCAGGCUGCAACCCGCCUGCGUGAAGUCGGAAUCGCUAGUAAUCGCGGAUCAGCAUGCCGCGGUGAAUACGUUCCCGGGCCUUGUACACACCGCCCGUCACACCAUGAGAGUCGGGAACACCCGAAGUCCGUAGCCUAACCGCAAGGAGGGCGCGGCCGAAGGUGGGUUCGAUAAUUGGGGUGAAGUCGUAACAAGGUACC